RNAcentral lists this transfer RNA (88 nucleotides) under Ameiurus melas (black bullhead). Its description in RNAcentral is "tRNA-Leu". The stretch from base 7 to 74 matches the Rfam family "tRNA", at positions 8 to 63 of the family's 71-position model. Rfam says of the family: Transfer RNA (tRNA) molecules are approximately 80 nucleotides in length. Their secondary structure includes four short double-helical elements and three loops (D, anti-codon, and T loops). The record is from RNAcentral. Lineage: Eukaryota; Metazoa; Chordata; Actinopteri; Siluriformes; Ictaluridae.
UGUUUUUGGCCGAGCGGUUAAGGCGUUGGACUCAAGAUCCAAUGGACAAAAGUCCUCGUGGGUUCAAACCCCACUCCUGGUAAAGCAA